This 229-nucleotide unclassified non-coding RNA is filed under the name Hevea brasiliensis (rubber tree). Lineage: Eukaryota; Viridiplantae; Streptophyta; Magnoliopsida; Malpighiales; Euphorbiaceae. The record is from RNAcentral.
UUUUUCCUUAGAAGAGGAUGGAGAUGUAGAUGUAGCAUUUUGCUUUAGGAGUAAAACUUUUCCUUGCUCUGUUACCGACAUUGAGAAAGUGCCACCUUUUGAAGUGGGACAAGAGGUUCACAUCCUGCCGUCUGUUACUCAACCAUUACUUGGGUGGUCAGAUGAAACCCCAGCCUCUUCAGGAAAAAUUGAAAGAAUCGAUAUGGAUGGAACUCUAAAUGAAAAAGAG